Molecule: ribosomal RNA, 922 nt
Filed under: Enterococcus faecium
Lineage: Bacteria; Bacillati; Bacillota; Bacilli; Lactobacillales; Enterococcaceae
Also listed under: 1 other name
Description: bacterial SSU rRNA
Rfam family: Bacterial small subunit ribosomal RNA
Source: RNAcentral
UGCUAUACAUGCAAGUCGUACGCUUCUUUUUCCACCGGAGCUUGCUCCACCGGAAAAAGAAGAGUGGCGAACGGGUGAGUAACACGUGGGUAACCUGCCCAUCAGAAGGGGAUAACACUUGGAAACAGGUGCUAAUACCGUAUAACAAUCGAAACCGCAUGGUUUUGAUUUGAAAGGCGCUUUCGGGUGUCGCUGAUGGAUGGACCCGCGGUGCAUUAGCUAGUUGGUGAGGUAACGGCUCACCAAGGCCACGAUGCAUAGCCGACCUGAGAGGGUGAUCGGCCACAUUGGGACUGAGACACGGCCCAAACUCCUACGGGAGGCAGCAGUAGGGAAUCUUCGGCAAUGGACGAAAGUCUGACCGAGCAACGCCGCGUGAGUGAAGAAGGUUUUCGGAUCGUAAAACUCUGUUGUUAGAGAAGAACAAGGAUGAGAGUAACUGUUCAUCCCUUGACGGUAUCUAACCAGAAAGCCACGGCUAACUACGUGCCAGCAGCCGCGGUAAUACGUAGGUGGCAAGCGUUGUCCGGAUUUAUUGGGCGUAAAGCGAGCGCAGGCGGUUUCUUAAGUCUGAUGUGAAAGCCCCCGGCUCAACCGGGGAGGGUCAUUGGAAACUGGGAGACUUGAGUGCAGAAGAGGAGAGUGGAAUUCCAUGUGUAGCGGUGAAAUGCGUAGAUAUAUGGAGGAACACCAGUGGCGAAGGCGGCUCUCUGGUCUGUAACUGACGCUGAGGCUCGAAAGCGUGGGGAGCAAACAGGAUUAGAUACCCUGGUAGUCCACGCCGUAAACGAUGAGUGCUAAGUGUUGGAGGGUUUCCGCCCUUCAGUGCUGCAGCUAACGCAUUAAGCAGGUCUUGGGAUUCAGUUGGGCACUCUAACAAGACUGCCGGUUAUGACCUGGGCUACACACGUGCUACAAUGGG